RNAcentral lists this ribosomal RNA (467 nucleotides) under uncultured bacterium. RNAcentral describes it as "partial 16S ribosomal RNA". It matches the Rfam family "Bacterial small subunit ribosomal RNA", at positions 29 to 507 of the family's 1533-position model. The record is from RNAcentral.
ACGAACGCUGGCGGCGUGCUUAACACAUGCAAGUCGAACGGAAAGGCCCUGCUUUUGUGGGGUGCUCGAGUGGCGAACGGGUGAGUAACACGUGAGUAACCUGCCCUUGUCUUUGGGAUAACUUCAGGAAACUGGGGCUAAUACCGGAUAGGAGCUCCUGCUGCAUGGUGGGGGUUGGAAAGUUUCGGCGGUUGGGGAUGGACUCGCGGCUUAUCAGCUUGUUGGUGGGGUAGUGGCUUACCAAGGCUUUGACGGGUAGCCGGCCUGAGAGGGUGACCGGCCACAUUGGGACUGAGAUACGGCCCAGACUCCUACGGGAGGCAGCAGUGGGGAAUAUUGCACAAUGGGCGGAAGCCUGAUGCAGCAACGCCGCGUGCGGGAUGACGGCCUUCGGGUUGUAAACCGCUUUCGCCUGUGACGAAGCGUGAGUGACGGUAAUGGGUAAAGAAGCACCGGCUAACUACGUG